This 880-nucleotide long non-coding RNA is filed under the name Brassica napus (rape). RNAcentral's name for it is "long non-coding RNA (BNAP_LNC018857)". Lineage: Eukaryota; Viridiplantae; Streptophyta; Magnoliopsida; Brassicales; Brassicaceae. The record is from RNAcentral.
GGUUUAACGUUGAUGUGUUUAUCGUAGAUUCUAUGUCUUUGUAGUGUUGUGUUCCUAAGUUACCCUGUUGUGGGUUUUAGUUGCCUUUCCUUGGGCUUUCGGUAGUAUUAUGUUUGCAAGUAACCCCGAUGUGGGUUCUAGUUGCAUUUCCUUGGGCUCUUGAUUCUGGGGAUUUCAUGUUAUCCGCCAGCUUAGGAUCAAUCAUGUACUUGAACUUUGAAUAAAUAUAGUAGAUGAAAAAAAAAACAUUUCUGAAUAAUAUAGAGGAUUUAGGGCCGGCUUAGAUAGGCGGGCGAGUGGUACGACCGCCCCGGGCCCAAUCCGUUGUCCCACUAUUUUUUAAUAGAUAAGGGUCCGAUUUUUUUAAAAAAAUACAUGUAUUUUUAUAUUAAAAAUAAAAAAGGGGCCCAAAAAUUUUUUAUAUGAAUUUUUUUUUUUAUAUCUAUAGAUUUAUUUUUAAAAAUAUUUCUGGUAUUUUGAAAAAUAACAUAUAUCUAUCAGAUUUUUUAAAGAAAAUUAAUAAUUUGGAAAUUAAAAAAAAAUUUACCCUAGGGCCUAUGAUACCAUUGAACCGGCCCCGAGGGGAUGAGACUGAGGAGAAGAAACCAAAAUCUGAUCAGGGUGAGGACCAGGCCCGACCCUGACCUAAAGCCUAGCAAGCAAGGGCUUUGGACGCCAAAUUAUAUAAUACAUUUAAGGGCGCCAAAUUUUGUCAAAAUUGUCCUUAGUACAGUGGCGAAAGGUGUUAUCAAAUAUUCCAAUGAACCCGUGUUCGAAUCUGGCUUACGUAUUUAUGGGGCAAUUAUUUUUUCUUUGCUUUAGGCAUGAUAUGAAGCUGGGCCGGUACUGGUGAGUACAUAUUUCUAUGUGGAGGAGGCAA